RNAcentral lists this ribosomal RNA (445 nucleotides) under uncultured bacterium. RNAcentral's name for it is "partial 16S ribosomal RNA". It matches the Rfam family "Bacterial small subunit ribosomal RNA", at positions 354 to 796 of the family's 1533-position model. The record is from RNAcentral.
GUGAGGAAUAUUGGACAAUGGAUGGAAAUCUGAUCCAGCCAUGCCGCGUGCAGGAAGACGGCCCUAUGGGUUGUAAACUGCUUUUGUAUGGGAGCAAUAAGGGCUACGUGUAGUCCGAUGAGAGUACCAUACGAAUAAGGACCGGCUAACUCCGUGCCAGCAGCCGCGGUAAUACGGAGGGUCCGAGCGUUAUCCGGAUUUAUUGGGUUUAAAGGGUGCGUAGGCGGUGUGAUAAGUCAGCGGUGAAAUUUUCCGGCUCAACCGGGAUACUGCCGUGUAUACUGUAAGGCUAGGAUAUGGUUGCGGUGGUUGGAAUGUGUGGUGUGACGGUGAAAUGCUUAGAGAUCACACAGAAUAUCGAUUGCGAAGGCAGCUCACAAAGCCAUUAUUGACGCUGAGGCACGAAAGUGUGGGGAUCAAACAGGAUUAGAAACCCCGGUAGUCC